This 490-nucleotide ribosomal RNA is filed under the name uncultured bacterium. RNAcentral describes it as "partial 16S ribosomal RNA". It matches the Rfam family "Bacterial small subunit ribosomal RNA", at positions 28 to 507 of the family's 1533-position model. The record is from RNAcentral.
GAUGAACGCUAGCGAUAGGCUUAACACAUGCAAGUCGAGGGGCAGCAUGGUCUUAGCUUGCUAAGACUGAUGGCGACCGGCGCACGGGUGCGUAACGCGUAUGCAACUUGCCUCACAGAGGGGGAUAACCCGUCGAAAGACGGACUAAUACCGCGUACACUCCAUCUUGGGCAUCCAAGGUAGAGGAAAUGAAAUUCGCUGUGAGAUAGGCAUGCGUCCCAUUAGCUAGUUGGUGAGGUAACGGCUCACCAAGGCGACGAUGGGUAGGGGAACUGAGAGGUUGAACCCCCACACUGGUACUGAGACACGGACCAGACUACUACGGGAGGCAGCAGUGAGGAAUAUUGGUCAAUGGGCGAGAGCCUGAACCAGCCAAGUCGCGUGAAGGAUGACUGUCUUAUGGAUUGUAAACUUCUUUUAUACGGGAAUAACAAGAGUUACGUGUGACUCCCUGCAUGUACCGUAUGAAUAAGCAUCGGCUAACUCCGUG